UUUUUUAUUACUUCAUCCAAACAAUAACAUUUAAGAAUGAAAACAAUUGAAUUGAAUCAUUUGAAUUCCCUAUAAUUCUAAAUUCUUCAAAAUUUCUCAAUUACCUCAUCCAAACACACUCUAGGAAAAUGUUUUGAGGGAAUUCAAAUAUUUUGGGGUGAAUUCCAUUGUUUGGAUAAUAAUUUGAAG
RNAcentral lists this microRNA precursor (189 nucleotides) under Medicago truncatula (barrel medic). Its description in RNAcentral is "miR2676f stem-loop (mtr-MIR2676f)". Lineage: Eukaryota; Viridiplantae; Streptophyta; Magnoliopsida; Fabales; Fabaceae. The record is from miRBase by way of RNAcentral.